RNAcentral lists this long non-coding RNA (20765 nucleotides) under Setaria italica (foxtail millet). RNAcentral describes it as "long non-coding RNA (SITA_LNC004269)". The record is from RNAcentral. Lineage: Eukaryota; Viridiplantae; Streptophyta; Magnoliopsida; Poales; Poaceae.
GAGGUGGAGCCUAGCAUAUCUGGCCCAAAGAGGUAUGGUCUUGACUCUGUCCUGAUUGGACAACAGUACUGCAGCUCUGCUUGUUAGGAAGUAAUACUGGGUCUUACUGUAUUUAUCAACUUGUAGGCCUCAUGACCGUGUCCCGUUGAAGGAUAUGAAAUCAGAUUGGCAUGCUUGCCUAGACAACAAAGUUGGGUUCAAGGUAACUUCUUGGUUUUCUACCAUAUAUUAUGCAUAACAGUGCUUUAUCUGAAUUACUAAUCAAACAAAUAUACCUACAAAAUUCCAGGGUUUUGCAGUGCCUAAGGAGCAGCAGGGUAAAGUUGUCAAAUUUGACUUCCAUGGGCAGCCAGCGGAACUUAAGCAUGGUAGUGUUGUUAUAGCAGCAAUAACUAGCUGCACAAACACCUCAAAUCCUAGCGUUAUGCUUGGUGCUGGCCUUGUAGCUAAGAAAGCCUGCGAGUUGGGUCUCGAGGUUUGUUCUUUUGUAACCUAAUCACAUGCUGUUAUACUUGAUGCUUCGCUUCACUCUGCUGAUGUGAAAUGACUCUUUCUUAGGUGAAACCAUGGGUGAAGACUAGCCUUGCCCCUGGAUCAGGAGUUGUCACGAAGUACUUGCUUCAGAGGUAUCUUAUCAUCGUUUAAUAAAGAAUAGUGAAACAUAGAAUUUUGGUGCAUAUCAAAUUGCAUCUUUGAGUGGAAUCUUGUGAUUUCUUCUUACAGUGGUCUUCAAGAAUACUUGAACCAGCAAGGAUUCCAUAUCGUUGGUUAUGGAUGUACCACUUGCAUUGGAAACUCUGGUGAUCUUGAUGAGUCUGUAUCAGCUGCUAUUUCAGAAAAUGGUAAUUUAAAGUUUGUGAACAUUCCCUAUUUAGUUGCGGUGAAUUUCAGAGGGAUCUGUCUGAUUGACUUAUGCUUAUCUUUUUGGAUAGAUGUUGUCGCUGCUGCUGUUUUGUCGGGCAACCGGAACUUCGAGGGUCGUGUGCACCCUCUGACUCGGGCUAACUACCUUGCUUCGCCACCUCUUGUUGUUGCUUAUGCACUUGCUGGCACUGUAAGUCCUUGUUUUUUUUUCGUAUUAAUGGUUACCAUCACAUGACCUAUAUCUGUGCUUUUAGUUGCAGGGAAUUGAUUAACAUUGUAAGUUGUAUUUUUCAGGUUGACAUUGAUUUUGAGAAAGAGCCCAUUGGAAUUGGAAAAGAUGGCAAGGAGGUCUACUUCAGGGAUAUAUGGCCCUCAACUGAAGAAGUUGCACAGGUAUAUGCUGUACUGAAUUCAGAAUUUCAGAGUAGUUGGCUUUGGCUUCAGUUAUUUGUACAGAGUUGUUGCUAUUGUAUCUGUAGUUCUAUACUUAUGUUGGAGAUAUUUCUGACCACUUAUUUUGUGGCAAUAAUUGUUAUUAAAAUGAUACCCAACAGGUCGUCCAAUCCAGUGUGCUGCCUGACAUGUUCAAGGGCACCUACGAGGCUAUCACGAAAGGGAACCCAAUGUGGAACCAGCUUACUGUCCCAGAAGCAUCACUCUAUUCAUGGGAUCCGAAAUCCACUUACAUUCAUGAUCCCCCGUACUUUAAGGACAUGACCAUGUCCCCACCUGGUCCCCAUGCAGUGAAGGACGCCUACUGCUUACUGAACUUCGGGGACAGCAUUACAACAGAUCACAUUUCACCUGCCGGAAGCAUACACAAAGACAGUCCUGCUGCCAAGUAUUUGAUGGAGCGUGGUGUGGACAGGAAGGACUUCAACUCAUAUGGUAGCCGUCGUGGUAACGAUGAAGUAAUGGCGAGAGGAACAUUUGCAAACAUUAGGAUUGUGAACAAGUUUUUGAACGGAGAAGUUGGACCCAAGACCAUUCACGUUCCUACUGGGGAAAAGCUUUCUGUUUUUGAUGCAGCCAUGGUAUGAUGAAACUACUGUGAAGUCUAUCUCUUCAUUUCUCUCCAUAUUAUCUCCUGAUGCCCGUGGCCCCUUUUGCAGAGAUACAAAUCUGAGGGCCAUGCCACCAUAAUUCUUGCUGGCGCCGAGUACGGAAGUGGCAGUUCUCGUGAUUGGGCUGCCAAGGGACCGAUGCUCCUGGCGAGUUCCUCUACUCAGAUUUUUUUUGUCCUCAUUUGAAUUAUGUCUGGGAAACCAUAGUAUUGACAGAUCUGGUAUUUGUUUCAGGGAGUUAAAGCUGUGAUUUCCAAGAGCUUUGAGCGUAUCCACAGAAGCAAUUUGGUGGGGAUGGGAAUCAUUCCUCUCUGCUUCAAAGCUGGUGAGGAUGCUGAUUCUCUUGGGCUUACUGGACACGAGCGGUACAGCAUCGACCUCCCUACCAACCUCAGCGAGAUCCGCCCUGGCCAGGACGUGACUGUCAGAACCGACAACGGGAAAUCCUUCACUUGCACCCUUCGCUUUGACACUGAGGUACAUGCAAUUCAGAAGAUAUCUUUUUAUCUUCCCAUCAGGCAUGCUAUUUUGUAUCGUGUCAUAGCUUAGUGCUUCUCAAUUGGUUUGCAUGGUACUCAAUCGCAUUCUUGGUCGUGUUGCAGGUGGAACUGGCAUACUUCAACCAUGGAGGCAUCCUCCCCUACGUCAUCCGCAACUUGGCACAGAACUAAGGCAGAUCACACCGUUUCACCCGCGACAAUGGGCGGCAGGCUUGUCUUCCCCAGGGUGUACAGCCUAGCUCGAUGUAGAGAGUUUGCGAUGGAUCUCAGGGCCUUUGUCGAUUCAGUCAUACAAAUAAACUGUGAAAUAAAAUCCGCAGGGGGCGGGAACCACCAGCUGGUGUGAGCGCUGGUUGAGGAACAGUUUUGCCUGCUGUUUGGUUAUGAUGAAACGUGCUGUGGAAUAGACUGUUCUAAUAUUCGUGUUUCAUAGACGUGUAGGGCGCGGUGUAAAUGAUUUCGGUGCUAAUACUUCGGUUGCGCUACAUUGAUUAUGCUCUAUAGUCUAUACCGCAAAUGUUCCAUGGUUUCUUUGGAUCUUGUUUUUACUGUUGGUCCAGGUAGUCUUUUUGGACAAUUGCGGUUUCGUCUGGCUUGACGAGGGGGCUGAGAAUUUGACUGGAUUCCGAGCCAGGACUACACUAACCAAGUCUACAGACGGACUCUGUCACCUCUAGCAGGUGCUCACACGUAUGCACUGCACUAAUCCUGUAUACAUGAGUGAGAGACCGGAGUAGGCCAGAAUAAUGAGAUACAAGGCGUCAUGGUGGAUCUCUCUGACCAUCCGAGAUAUUGCUUGCUGCUUGUUUCCUCAUCUUGACUAUGUGAGACACAUUAGAUCCAAAUGCUCCUUGAACAGUUCCAUGCAGGUCAUCAUCUUCGUACUUUGAUUUAGCUUUCACUCACCUAUCCUAGCUUAUCACAAUAGUUUGCCGAGAUCGUGCCGAGCGAUGUGAAGGAAGAUACUAUCUCGGUCAAAGGCCAUACGCGUCUUGCGCUAUCCAUUUCAUUAUACUAGAGCCUGUGGCGCGCCUCCGGCUCCCCACUCCUCCGUUCCAGUUUUGAGCAAAUAGACAUACUGAACUUUGAUCCUCUGUAGUAUUUCAUUGCAUGACAAUUAACUUUAAGUCACAAGGACUGAAGCUGAUUUCUAAAGCCGGUCUCUAUAGGAGUUUCAUAGAGAGUUUCAUCAGCAUUAAUUUCUAUAUCACAUUAGCAAUUUUGCUGACUUGCAAGGUCUUUACGAGGAGAGAUGAUGGAGUUUCAUGAAAUGAGAGAUGGGUUUCAUCCCCAUUAAACCUAGCAAGGUACAGUUACAAGUUUGCAGUUUUAAUAACAGUGCAAUGAAACUGUGCAUUGAGACUGGCCUAAUCUCUAAAUCUAAUGGCACAAAUAGCAAGAUGGAGUAUUAAAUAGUGAAACCUAAUGUACCUUCAAUUUAUUUUAGUAAAGCAAAAUCUUGUGAAAAGAACAAAAAACUCCAUAUAUGUAUUUCACAGCUAAAAUGGGACUCACAGCAGUUAACAUUACCCACUUUAAGUUUCAAUCAUCAAAAAGCACACGGGCAUGAGUAUAAUUCAAAAUCAUUGGUAGUUUGAUGCAAAACAAGAGUAAAUUUCCUUAUCCACUUCAGUCAAAUCGAUCUAACGUGAGUACUCCCUCCGUAACACUCUAUCUUGUAUAAGUUUUGUAUCUAGAAAAGCUAAAAUGAAUAAUAAUUUGGAAUGGAGGGAGUAUAAAAUUACUGAGACAAGCAAACAAAUGAAACUGUGGUUACAAUUGACCUACAAUUAAUGGCAACGAAGUUCAGAAUUAUUUACCUAAGCAUCAGUGUAGUAACAGAGUUACACUUAUUUUACCUAAAAAGGAACCAAUAAUAGAUAUUGUUGUGGACAACAAAAAAACAUGUCUAAAUUUACCAGAAUCCGUCUAAUCAUCUGAAUGUAUGGCUGUUUCUUUUUGACAAAUCAGCAAACAAAUGCAUGUACAUAACAUCAUUGGUGUAAGAACCAAAUUACAUUCGUUAAUCUAAAAUAUAGUGCCAAUUUUAUGACAAUGACCAAAGCUUUGUCUCCACUAACAACAGCUGCCAAAGCCACUGGACAGGCAAUGCAUUUCUCACCGCAGGAUCAACACACCCAAAAGGCAGUUCACUCGACCUCUCUCCAUACAGCUUAAUGAAUGCCUUCUACGUUACCAUCAGCUACACAUUUCCAGCCAAGGGGUAAAAGAAUGUUUUGCGAAGGCUACGAGGAUCACGAGCACCUCUUUAAGGAUUACGUCAUGCGAGGGGCAUUUGGUCAGCAACUGGGUACGUGCAGGUUCAACAGCUCGGACAGCUCGGCGACAUCUGGGAUGUCAGUUUCUUCGAUGCUAAUCUACAUGCUCCUCAGCUCAGAACCCUGAUCGUCGCCUUCUUAACUUCUUAUAGAACAUUUGGAAGGACAUAAAUGACAUGGUCUUUAAUGCCGCUCACAGGUCACCAGCGCAGGUGUUACACUCCAUCGACAUAUGGGCAGAUCGCAUCCGCAAGCCAGUAGCUAGAACUUUUUCUCAUUCUUGUAGUGCAGGACUACGGGAUGUAGCAUAUAGCUAGCUGUGUAUACUCUACUCUCCACCCUAACCUCACAAUGCACUGAACGCUUUACCUGCGUUCUACAUCCGUUCAAUGAAAGUUCAGGCGAGCAAUUGCUUGUCGUAUAAAAACAGAAUGUUCAGCUGCAGCUCACUUGAACCAACAGCCAUUUAAGUGAAUGAGUUCGAAGCCUCAGAAAGCCGACACACAACAAAUGAUCUAUUCGGUAUUCCUUUUUCUGUAUCAACGAAAGCAAUACCAUCAGUGAACAAUGAAGCAUAGCACACAUAAAAACAAAGUUUCAGAAACUCUGCAGUGUACGCGUGCCUAAUCAUAGCAGUCCAAGGCACGUCAUCUCGCCUCGGCAUUGCAUCAAACAGCAUACACGUGGUGCCGAUGUCGCCAACCCCGGCAUCCCUAACAGGGUGCCUUUUGUUCUUUACAACCAACUGACAGAAAAAUUUCUGCAUAUAUAGCUAAGACUAAGGGUUCUUUAAAACCUCAAUUUCCCUUCCAACAAUCACAUGCAUUAGUGUUGCAAAAGGGAUGGGAGUCUUGCAUCAGAAUGUGCAAAUAGACUCUUAAAAACUCCUGGAAUACCAGUAAAAUUGUUAAACAGAUAAAUUCUCCAGUUCACACGGAUCAAACAUGGUGGAGCAAACAUAAAUAUAUAGUUGUAAUGCUGGGUAUCCCCAAAAAAUGAUUGGAGAAAUAUAAUUGCUCCGGUAGUAUUGACAACUAACUUACCACCUGGCCUCCAUCAUUUAUAGACAUAGCCUUGACACGGUAGUGACAACAACAAGAAGCUAACAAUAUCAAAUCAACACAGUUCAAUUUUCAUAGGUGCUUGCUUUAGCAUGGACAUUAAGUGUAAAUAUAUUUCUAUAUGCUGUAUAUCAUAAACUAAAAGACAUGUUGUUACCUCCCUGACAGAGAAAGCCAGGCAUCAUAAGGUAUACCUCUACGGUAUGCCAUUGUAUUUCACGGUGUAGCUGAAAAUUGGUAUUCCCAUUGUGAGUUGUUUCUUUAGUAGUCACUAAAAUGAGGCCUGCAAAAAUGGAAGAUUGUUACUCGCCAGGGGAAGAUCAUAUUGGUUAGGACCUACGAAGAAUGUCUUCACAAAGAACAAAAGAUACUCCACAUAUAUGAAUCAUGGGCCUCCGUAACAUGUAUUGAAAUGUCACUUAAUUUGACAUCAAAGCUGCAUGCACUUCCAAAUUUUAGUUUGAAAUAGUUCUUGUGUACCUAAAGUCAGUUGAUUUGGGUCUCAUCCUUGUGAACCCAUGCAUCUUCCACUGUUCGAAGUUCUUGGUCAGGGUAUGUCACAUGCCGAAGAGCUUUUGGGCCUUCCUGUCAUCAUUAUUAUUCUUGGUACUCAUGAGGAUUCAGUAGACUGAGAUGGUAGAACAAAGGUAGGCAUAAUAACCUAGGUGUAGGAACUACUGCUAAAUUGUGAGCUUGGGCAUAAACAUUUUGCUAAAAUGCGAGUUAGACAUUGGACGAUUGCAUGACAUAAUCAUAAUGGUAUACUGAGUAUUUAACAUUAAAUAUUUUGCAAAUGUUUAGUAGUUGCUAGUUGCCACCAUACAUGCAUGAUUGAAUGGUUCACUACCACAUAAUUAUGGUAGCAAGUACAUACACUGAUUUCUAUCUAAUGAUCUCAGUUCUUAGAAGUAUUUCAAACUAAAAAUUGAUCCAUAGAGACUUCAAAUAGUGGUGCUAGCAGUUGUCCAGAAAAGCACAUUAUAUGAGCACUAAGGAACUAUAAGUAACCUGGGUAAGUGAGAGAACUCAUUGUGCCAUGUCUAAUUAAAAUUCCCAGUGGCGCCGAAAAGGUAAAUAAUUAUACUUAUACUAAACCAAGAAAAUAAUAUAAUUCUUGUGGGAGCAAUUGUUCUAUGUAGUUCGGUACCUCCUACUUAUUAUAUUGAAAAGGGCGAGUACAAAGCUAACUGAUUGAACAAAACAUUUACCAUACUUCUGGUUGAAAUUUGACCUGGGGAUCUCGGUCUGGAUGGAUCAAUCUCUGAAGAUUUUUUUCCUUCACAUUUACCAGCAAUUGAAAUAGAAUAACAACUGGUUUCAGUCUUGUUAAUCAACUUGUCGAUUAUACUUGUCAGAUUGAAUAUGUUGCCCCAAUAUGCAAUAUGGAUACAGAAACACCAAAGCACAUGCUCUGUGUAGUAAAAUUGUUGCCUAAAAAAGGUAGUGUUAGCGCAUGCUUUGCUGAAUAGAACUGGGCAGGAAACAUCAACAUCAUUUAACCUUGAAUAACACAGCAAAAAUAAUACAAUCCCCUUUCAGACAUUUCAUUGAGCAUAUUGUGAGCAGCAGGCCAGCAGCCGUUGGAGGGAGAGAAUGCAGAACUUACAGCUUGCACAUGCCUUGGCAGCCUGGAGAUGAGAAAAGCAACAGCCAUGAUCUGUUGCCGUGGAAGGGGUGCAGCUUGCCGCUGCGCGACAGACGCAGCAACGGAAGAAACGGAGCUGGGCUGGUCACCAGGCGAGAGUCGCACUGGGAUAAAGUGUUGGGUGGAGGUGGUGGUGCCCAGACGUCAAAGAGAAAGAGGUGAGCAUGUGGGGGACGGGCGGAAGCAGGGCGGCUGAGGCGCCCGAGGAUGCGCGGGGAGCCGGUGGGCGGCGCUCCUGUUCCGACGAGGGGAGCGGUCAGACUUUUUCGUUUUUUAACUCUUUUUGCGAAAGAUUCUCACACAAAUAGGCUCCUGGCGGAACCAAUUCCAAAAAUGGACCCUUAGCUUGGCGCCAUCCACGCUGGCGCCAAGCUACAACGUCUCGGCGCCAGCCAUCCUGGCGCCAAGGUCUUUGCGCAGCUGCUGACGCGGAUGCCGACGUGGCGGGGGCUUGGCGCCAGCCAUGAUGGCGCCAAGCCUUGGCGUCAUGGAUCUUGGCGCCGAGCUAUCUACGCCGUACCUCUUCGCGUUUCGAACUAAAGAAGUAUAAUUAUUCCAACAUUGGGGUUUGAACUCGGGUAUCUAGGAUAAGGAACCCACCUCCUAACCAGUUGAACCACAGCUUAGUUUGUUGCACACUCCUCGGAAUAAUUAUACUUCUUUAGUUCGAAACGUGAAGAGGUACGGCGUAGAUAGCUCGGCGCCAAGAUCUACGGCGCCAAGCUUGGCGCCAAGAUCUAUGGCGCCAAGGCUUGGCGCCAAGCCCCCGUCACGUCGGCAUCCGCGUCAGCAGCUGCGCAAAGACCUUGGCGCCAGGAUGGCUGGCGCCGAGAUGUUGUAGCUUGGCGCCAGUGUGGAUGGCGCCAAGCUAAGGGUCCAUUUUUGAAAUUGGUUCCGCCAGGAGCCUAUUUGUGAGAAUCUUUCGUAAAAGGGCUAAAAAAACAAAAAAAAGUCGCGGGGAGCGGUCCCCGCUGUGGAAGCCGAUUCGGUCAGUUUUUGAGUUGGGCCCAAUUCACGCCAACAUUUUCAUAUGAAUUGGGCCCUAAGUGCAGGGCAGGAGGUGUUUUGUUGUUGUAUGUAGGCCGGCCGAGCCUCGUGUUUUGGGCCUGGCCCAAUAAGUCAGGGUUCCAGUUCGCCAGCCCGACGACCUUGGACCCGACACAUCCGAGCGAGACCCACCGCCACCGCCUUCUCCUCUCUCUUUCUCCUACCUCUCGCCCCCGUCUUGUCCCCGAGUCCCAAGCGCAAGAACAGCCAAGGAAUCGGCGGCGGCGGCGGCGGCGGCGAUGGUGUGCGCCAAGUGUAAGAUCCCCCUCCCUCCUCGCGGCCCUAGAUGUUUCUCCUACCGAAUUUGGCCGAUUCGUCUUUACCCUUGAGGUUCCGUGCUGGGAUCUGUUUUCUUUUUCCUCUGUUCUACCCUAAGAAGGGUUGGUGGGAUUUGGGUUGCAGGCGAGAAGAAGCUCGGGAAGGUGAUCGUGCCGGACAAGUGGAAGGAGGGCGCCAGCAAUACCAACGAGAGCGGCGGCCGCAAGAUCAACGAGAACAAGCUCCUCUCCAAGAAGAACAGGUCAACCUCCAUCCCUUCCUACCCCAAUCCCCCACCGAGCCAUCUCUCUACUACUAGUUCUUUGCGGUCAAGGUUGAGCUGAUGCUGUUUCCUGGGCUCCCAAUUUCGUUUAAUGGGGUAUCUCGAGCGGAUCAGGUAGGGCAGUGGUUUCGUUAAGAAAAGAGGCAAAUCACCAGAGUUAAUUGCUCCACUAGUCACAUCACAGGAGGGUAUACAGUAAUCAAUCAAUCAAACAAAUUGUUUGUUGGUUGGGCUUAAUGGACAUGCUGGUAGAAUUGAUUACUUGAGCUUUGAGGCACCUAACAGAUUUGAUUUUAGAAAAUUGGCGCACACCUCAUUUCCUCCUAAACUGAAUUAGACUGUAAAUUGAUGAUAUGUCAGCAGUACAAGCUAUUAUUAUUCACAGUUUGGGACAAGCGUCCUGCUGCAUGAUGAGCUAUUGACCUACAAUGUUGGUACCACAGUAGCCUAAUGCCCCCAAAAGUGCAUGCCUCUUAUUCUCUUCAUUGCAGGCCCUUAGUACAAGAUGGCCUUUCUUAACUGAAUAGAUAGUGAAGUAUUUGUUCAAAGUGUCACAGAUCUGGAUGACAACUUGAUACAUAUACCAUACAUAAUUCUAUAAAUGAUAAACUAUUUUAUUGGUUAUAUGGUGUUAUCAGAGAAACGGUUACACUGAGGGUUAUUUGGGUGAGCAUAGAAACAUGAAGACAUCAGCUGUCAAAUUAGUGAACCUUUCAUCACUAGUUGUGGGAAUUGACGGGGGAAGAGUAGAAAAGGCGAGGGGAAGGAAUAUGAGUUUUGAUUCUGUAAGGGACGAAAAGUUGAAAACAGUUGCUAAUUAUGGUUUCUCAUAUGGAUAUGGGACAGUAUGGCACCGAGAUUCAGGGGCGGAGGAAAGGGUAGGGCCACUAGGGCCAUGGCCCUAGGCGUCAGCCCAGUUUUUCCAUUAUGCAGUGCACUGUAGCCUGAAGGCCCAGCCCAGCAAGCGCAGUUGGCCCAUGGAGUGGCCCUAGGCGUUGAGCUCCACCCCUGCUGAGAUUUAAGAUUUUCAGUUUUUAUUUGGGCAUCUAUAACUCAAAAUUCAUGUUAUGGUUUGAUCCUUACCUUCAAGGAAGGUGCUAUUAAAUUUCCAUGGAAAUAUUCUAUGUCGCCAUUGGUUGGUCUAUAUUCUAUGUGUUUGCUCAGGAGUCAAGAUAUGUUGCUUCUAAAUCUGCAGCUUAAAGUCCUAACUGAGUUUUCUGUAUCCAUGGAUUCUUUAAUCUCUUUAGAUAGUUUUCUGAACAAGCCAUCUGUCUUUCUUGUCUCUAUUGAAAUUGCAUCAUGUUCUUUUUUCUAAGUUAUAAAUGUUCAAAUCAUAUCCGAUGAAGGUAUUAUUUUGUGAUUGUCGUCUAACUGUAUGAAUCACACAGGUGGACUCCCUAUGGAAACACCAAAUGUAUAAUAUGCAAGCAGCAGGUGCACCAGGAUGCAAAAUACUGCCACACCUGUGCUUAUUCGAAAGGUAAGAACUCCAUUAGAGUAUGACUUCACGAGAUGCUAUCUGAAAUAAGUUAAUUCCUGAUUCUGAUCAUAAUGCGGACUUUUCUUUCAGGAGUGUGUGCAAUGUGCGGGAAGCAAGUGCUGGACACGAAGCUCUACAAGCAAAGCAACGUGUGAUCCUAGAUGUACUAAACUGCUAAUAACUUGUAUGAAAUCUUGUACUUGCAAUCUAGCUGUUGAAAAAUAGUGAUGUGUGCUAUAACAGAAAAAAGUAUGUACUUGACUAACAAUUCUGGAACAUGAAACGUUUCCAAAAUUAAAGCUCCAGCAACUCGAGCUUGUGUCACCUUACAAGUCUGUUGUGGCUGGUUGCAAGCGAAAGCAAUCUGUGCUGUGGUUUUGGUUUCGCAAUUGGAACUAGCAUGCAUUUUUCCUUAUAUUAAAAUCUACAUGACCUCCAUGGCAGGAGUGUCUGCAAAGGUUUCCGUUCUCAAUAUCCUGCAUUUUAAAAUGAAAACGCAUUCUCAGAGGUGCUACAAUUUUUCACUGCCAAUGGUACAGUUUGUCUGAACAAUGCUUGUUUUCUGCUACAUUACUGGUACAGUUUGUCUGAACAAUGCUUCUUGUUUACCGCUACGGCGCUACAUUACGCAUAAAGACGACACUAUAACCUGUCAAAUGUACUGCCACAAUUAGACAGAUGCAUCAACUAUGGCCAGGUCAGCCUACAAGGCUACAGCUAGCUAUAUAGUUCUAUGAAAAAGAAGCACAGGAGACUAAGUUACAUUCUACAAUGCACAAAAUAAAUGAAGUAAAAUCCAAUGCUUGGAAUUUUAUUUCUGGACUCAGACUGCGGUUCUAACUUAGGUUUUCUGGUUGAGCACAUGACGGAGCUGAAUCUUCUGGCUUUCCAUCCGGGCUUCUAGAAGCUUCGCCUUGAGGCUUUGUCUCUGAACCAGCUCCAUGCAACCUCUGAAAUCGCGGUUAAGCUGGCUGUUCAUCGAGUCUGGUGAGCUCCACUGCGCUGUACUUGGGGUGCUGUCUCCCAUAUCCAAAUUCAAGCCUUUGGCAGUUGAGAACACACCAUUGGGAAGACUUGCACUCGAUGAUCUCCCAUUUGUCAUCUCUGCAGCAUCUUUCGUGCGGAAUUCACAAUGUUUCAGAGGGGAUGACUUCCAGAGCUUCGAUAUGGCGGACUCUUUCUUCUUGGGCUGUUUCAUGUCCGUCAGGUACAUGUUGCUCAAGUCAUCACACAGCCUGUUGGUCUGCCCACCCUCGGAAUCGUUUCCACUCGUCCAUGAAAUUCUGUCAAAGAUCUUGUUGACUGAAGGUUCGCUUCCAUACGGCGAGUGGCUUGAGCCCUGCAUCUCUUCAUGGCUCAUGGUCUCCCAGCUGCUGCCAUCUUCUGUCUCGCUCUCAUCAGAAUGGCUUCCAUCUGGGAACAAUUUGGCUCGAUUUUCCAGAAAUAUAUCAGCUGUCGGGGUAGCUUCUUGGAUUUCUGAUUCACAAAUAGCAAAGCUUUGCUUUGGGCAAGGUUCAGUCUCCUUUGUCUCUGUUUCGCCACUUGGGCGCAGCUCUUCAAAGAUGGACAAUAUAUCUUCUGAUGCUCGCGGUGGCUCAUAUGUGAAUUCAACCUCUUCGUUUCUCACUGCUCCAAUGGCCUGUACGAUAUUGCAUGCCGUUUCAACAACUGUGCUGUCUUCUUUGGAAGAGCUGAAAGUGGAAAUGAAAGCCUCUACAUCCUCUUGCAGUUUGCUCAACUGGUCGUAUUUGGCCUCCAGAGUGAGUUUGGCAUCGACAAGUUUCAUCUGCACUCGCUCCUCACGCCACACCUCAGCCAUCUGUAGCAAUUUCCUGUCCUCAUCCAGCUCACCCCGCAGUUUGACAGAAUCCUGCUUCAAGGCUUCAAUCUCUGACUUGUGUUCCUCUAUCUCCCUCACCAGCUUGUUGCACACCUCCUCUGUGAGUUCCCGUGUCUUCUGCUCGUUGUCAUACUCCUGCAGUAGCUGCUUCGCUGCCAUUUUGACCUCUUUCAACUCAUCAACAAGUUUGAAGUUAAUAGUCUCCAACUGCCUCCGGUUCUUUUUCUCAUGCUCAAGGUCUGCCUUCAUAUCUUCAAGAAUGGCUCGAACCUUCUUGUGCUCUCUGUUCCGCCAAGCUGCUUUCUCCUCAGCGAGUUUCUUGAACAAGUGAUCAAGUUGCUUCUUUGCUGAAACCCGCUCGGCUUCUAGCUUGCUCACCCUAUCCCUUGCCUGCUGAAGCUCCAUCUCAAGGUUAGCAACAUAACUUCCCCCGUGCUGUUCCUCAACGAGAUUUAGUUGGCUGGCAAUCACAUAAGCACCAUCUGGUUCAAUGCUCUUUAUGCUUAUAGGCUCCCAUUUAGUUGCAUCCUCCAUGCCAGAGGCAAGCCGAAGAUGUACCUGCACAGUUAAAUCCACUGAAUUAGCUCACAGCAUAGAGCGGAAACAGCAAUUUAGGUGCAAGUGAUUUCUAGCUUUACCUUGUGGAGCUCUCCACUAUGUGGCUCCAGAACCGAGUUGGGACUUGAAAUGUCAUCCUUAAGAUGACAGUGGUGACCGAGAGGAUCCUUCCUCAGAAGCUGAGCUUGUAGAUGUCUCGGUAUAUGCUGUCAUAAAAGUAAGUGAAACCAGCAAGUGAAUAAGUAAGAGCAACUGAUUGUCACAAAAGCAGAGGAAAAAUAAGCAUCGAUCAUUUCCAUCUCUUCCCAGCAGCAAGAAAUUACUAAAUGGCUAAAAAUUCAGACAGCUCCCCCAGAUUUAGCACCCAUUCUAGAAGUUACAGCCUAUAGUUACUUCUACAUAAUAACGAGGCAAAUAUCUGAAAGCCAAAGGGGAGAUGAAGAACGAAGAUGAAUCAUCUGCGUGAGUGCCUACAAAUCUGGGGCGAUUCUGCUCAGUAGAUCAUUCAGAUCCCAUCACCAGAUAUGACAAAUGACAGCGAAGAGUUCAGUGAAAUAGCAUACCAUCCUCCGAAACCAGGAUUUAUUGCUCAUGGAAUGAACGACAGCCGUAUCUCAAUCAGCAAGGUUAACUCACUCAAGUGGAAACAAAACUGAACACCAAGUUUACACCGAGCAUUACUUGGUAAAUUUUCGCAGCAGUGCCUCCAGUAAAUAGCCACCCACACACCACAAGCAGGCAGAGGUAGCCGGAGGAGACAAGCUGGUUGCUCCGACAUCAAGAACCCUAGCAAGGUACAGCCGUGCUCUGCGUAAUUGCACGGCACGCCGACGAUUGAAUGAGCCCGGAGUAGAUCACAUGAGGAGGAUUGAGUUGUGGGUGCGUCACAAGGAACGCGCCCAUGGCCUGACACAUAAAUGCCGCCUGGCGACACUGAAAUGGACGCGCUUGUUUUAUAUAAAAGAAAAGGGAACUCUGAGAGGGACGCCGCCAUUAAUGGGGAUCUGGGCUUCGAUCCGGCAUCGCCGUGCGACGCCGCAACGGCUAGUAACUGCUUGCCGCCACGAGCUGGAACGGGGGGCGGUAGAGGUGGUACGAAGGGUAGGCGAGUACGGCGGGGAGGGUGCCGCCGUCCGGCCGUCCUGGAUUCGCCUCCCCGUACGCUGAAUCCGGCAGCGUUCGAGCGGAAGCAGCUGAUUCGAGCUAAAAAUUCGAACUGAUUUUUUUCCCCUUCAAACGGUGGAGCGCGGGUCGGGGCUGGGGAGGAUGUUUACCUCGAGCCCGACACGGGUGGCGGCGGCGUUGUCUCGCUGGCCGGCGGCGGGUGCCUCCUCGGGUGGCCGCAGCCGCCACACCGCGGCGGCGAGCCGCCUGACAGAGGAGGGCGGGUCCCCGCGGGGCUUCUCCCCGCCGGCAUUGCCCUCCCCGCCCCGCGCGGCCCACCGGUGCUGCGGGGUCGCGGGCCCGGCGCCGCGGCGGGCAGCGGCACCGGCGGAGGCGGGUUGCGUGGCCUUGAGCGGGCGGCGUCGGCGGAGGCGGCGGGGUGCGCGGGGCAGCGGGGGCGGAGCUGAGGGGGCGGCGGCGGGGCGGGAGGCGGGCGGCAUUGGCGGUGGUAGGGUUCCAGCGGCUGGAAGGGAGGGGCGGGGUGGAGGCCGGAGGGGAGGGGGCGGGGAGUGAAGAGACGUUGGAGCGGAGAGCAAGAAGAGGGGUUGGAAGCGACAAGGGGAGAGAAUUAAGGGGCGUGGAAGGAAAGAGUCGUUUUUUUAGGGGGCCUGUAAGGAAGUUGGCAUUAAUGAGCAGCACGUGUCGUGGUAAAUGAUGUUGAUUGCAAGUACAAAUGUUUGGAGUAACUGUUUCAACCAGGUUAAAAUAGGCCAAUUGUAGUAUUCUGAUAUGUGUUUAGAAAAUAUGCAUUGUGAGAUGAAAAAAAGUUAUCAAUUGGAUAGAAAAUAUGCAUUAUGAGAUGAAAAAAAGUUAUCAAUUGGAUAGAAAAUAUGCAUUAUGAGAUGAAAAAAAGUUAUCAAUUGGAUUAUAUCUCUCCUUCAUCUUCGGCUAUGGCUAUAACUCAUACACUUCUUAAGGAUCCAUACCGCUAGUGGGAUCCUCGUAUUACCCUAUUUCUCCUAUGUCACCCUAACCCAUUCAUCAGCUAGCACAUACAUACCUUUCCAAUGGCGUCGUUGCUGCCCCUCGACUCGCCACUACCAUCGGAGCUACCGCCUCUCAUUGGUGAAGAUCUCCACCCAACCUAAGGCUGAAGCAAGCUAGCUCGUUGGAGUUGGGAGGGAAGAAUAGGUCCAUUAAUCGCGUGGGCAAUGAGCUCAGCGGCUUGAAAACACCUUACAUCACUAAGUGCAUCCCUAGGGGCGAAGCUAGCCCAGAAGAACACCCACCAGGGUCUUAUGUAGAAGAGGACGAUGUCAUUUUGAACAAUUAACUAGUAUAUACAGUUAUUUGCCACUGUUUUCUGCAAAAUUCGUCGAAGAUCAGCUUACCCCGGUAAGAAACCUGAGCUUUGCCCCAGUGCAUCCCCACUUUCCUUGAUUUAUGACGUGUCCUUUUAAGAGCUUUUUAAAACAUACCAAUUAGGAUUAGCCUUAGUCCACCACUGAUGAUAUGUCUGUAGGGUAUUGAAUUAUAUGCCUCCUUCAAAGUUUUACAGAUUCCUUUAAUUUACGAGUAAUACGAGUUAAUUAGCCUUAGACCUUUUUAAUUUCCAUCUCAGAUUAUAUAUUUCAACUUAUAAUCUAUAAUAUGGGGAAUGCCAGUUUAUUACCUUAUAAUAUAAUAAUCUGUUACGUAGAUUAUUAUGAUAUGAGGCCUAUUUGUUUCGGAUUUGUAAUCCGGAUUAUGUAAUUUGGAGAGGGAAACAAAAACGACCAUAAUUGUUGCAAAAUCACUAGAAGUCAGUUCAGCUGCACCAUCACGGCCACACACUAAUUUGUUGCUUAUUUGUACUUCCUUUUUAAACUUGGAAAGUAUCGCACGUACCGCCAUUGAUGUGUAUUAUUCCCGUACACCCAAGCCUCUUUUAACUUUUAACCCUCCGAUUGCUAGUUUUCACCACUUGAAAGCAUAGUUACAGCAGUAGUGGUCCCUUAAUAUUUUUGUUCGCGUGCACAAGUUGAUAUAUGAACUGAUAUAAAUUUGCACCACACAAAAUUGAUUUAUUCCCCUUCUGCUUGUUUACACAUGCAGAUAAGUAUUGAUAUUGACAGACCACAUCAAGCUUGAGGUUUGGAGCAUCUGAAAAACUUGAGAGAUCAGUUCAUAUGCACCUAGGGGUAUUACUGAACAAUUGGAACUUGGGACAGACCACAUCAAGCUUGAGGUUUGGAGCAUCUGAAAAACUUGAGAGAUCAGUUCAUAUGCACCUAGGGGUAUUACUGAACAAUUGGAACUUGGAACAUGCAGGAAUACACUGAAAGAUGCCAGUGGCUCAGGUGGUUGUUCAGACAUCAUUGCCAUCUACAGUCCAUCCAGGGAGGGCCAGGGACAUCCCAUGUUGCAAGAGGGAACAUUGGUCCAAGGAGUCUAACUGUAGUUUCAUCCUUAUUUUGGGGCUCCAAUGUAAUUUUGGAAGCUUCUGCAGUAUAAGGGGUUUGGUUCUUUAGUUCGGAUUAAAAUUAAUGUCACAUCGAAUAUUUGGAUAUUAAUUAGGAGGACUAAACAUGAGCUAAUUAUAAAAUUAAUUACAUAGAUGGAGGCUAAUUCACGAGAUGAAUCUAUUAAGCCUAAUUAAUCCAUCAUUAGCACAUGUUUACUGUAGCACCAUAUUGUCAAAUCAUGAACUAAUUAGGCUUAAUAGAUUUGUCUCGCAAAUUAGUCUCCAUCUGUACAAUUGGUUUUAUAAUUAGUCUAUGUUUAAUACUCCUGAUUAGUAUCUAAACAUUUGAUGUGACAAAAAUUUUAGGAGGUUCUAAAUAACCAAACACCCCCUAACUAUACCCCAUCAUGAUGUAAAGUAGGGGCUAGGCCCCUUCCAGGGCCAUAUUUCUUUGACACAAAGGCACUUGUGCAGAACAACUUGUGACUAGAAUGUCACUUCAUAUUAACAAAAAAAGAAUGCUACCUCCUUUCAAGAAGAUAAGAUUCAGCAUUCAGCAUUAUGUACCAGGAUGGAAUCUUGUUGAAGAUUACACACAGUAUACUAUGGCCCUGAUGUUCCUGAAUUAUUGAUCCAUUGUGGUUUUGCGCAUACAGCUCUGACUGGGGGGCUGGAGCACAUCUGGUCUGCAUAAAGAACAGCGUCAGCAGCUCAGGGCCUGCACCACUGAUCCUGAAGAUUCUAUAGAAUCGUGACUGGAGAGCAGAUAGCCAAGCACAUGGAGAUGAAAGCCUUGGAGACUAGCAGAAAUGUUUCGGGCAAUGGGUUCCUGAAAAGAAGGGGAGCGCUGUUACCAAGCAGACCUCGUAGUAUGGCGUGUCAUCUUGAAACGAAUUGCAACUGUGCGUUGUAUACGAAGUAGAAAUUCUUAAUCCAGAUGAUUGGAAAAUAAGGCGUGCAAGUGCAACCAUAAAGAUGGCUGUAAAAUUUUCCAAAAUACGUCUUGUGAAAAAUUAAAGAAAAGACUUUGCACAAGGACCUUGAAUCAUUUUUUUUUGAAGGAACCGGUAGGGGAGGCCCUUACCCCUAGUUUUUUUUAUAUAUAAAAGGAAUAUAUUUACAUGAUACAAAGCCCAAGGCUCAAGGAGAAGAAGGAGAGAAAACUAAAAAAAGACUACUCAACCAAAGAUUUAUCUUAUCCCUACCGAUGGUUUUGUCCUAAGGACAACCAUCUUUAAUUCCUCCAAAAAGCAGGAUCUCCAUCUGGCAAAAGAGAGGAAUCCACCAUAAAAAAUAAUAAUGUUCCUAGACACCACUAAGUCCAACACGCAACAAUAACAACUUCCCUAAAAAUGCAAGAACCAAAAUCUCCCAAGCUUGGAUGAUCAUAUCAACCGAUUGAAGGCUAAGAUCCCAGUGAAUGUCCAAAUAGAUCCAGCAGGCCUAACUGAACGGACAGUCAAAUAACAAGUGAAGGAUCGUCUCUUCCACGUUUUCUACACAAAGAACACAAUUAUGGCUGUCAAGAUGCAUGUGUUUUCUUCUGAGCAAGUUCCUGGUAUUAAGUCUAUCCCUGAGCAACAACCAAAAGAAAAACUUAUGCUUAUUUUAAGCUCUUAAUUUCCACAUCCAUUUGAUGAGUGGAGAGGCUGGAAGGGAUCCUCUGAGGCAUUUGUAAGCAUUCUUGCUGGUGAUGUUACUCGAUCCCCAAAUAUAUUUAUCAUUCAGCAUUAUGUAACUGGAUGGAAUCUUGUUGAAGAUUACACAGUAUUCUAUGGCCCUGAUGUUCCUGCAUUACUUAUCCAUUGUGGUUUUGCGCAUACAGCUCUGACUGGGGCACGUCUGGCCUGGAUAAAGAACAGCGUCAGCAGCCCAGGGCAGGGACUGCACCACUGAUCCUGAAGAUUCUACAGCCUUGGCGACAGACUGGUUUCGAGUGGUCAUUAAGAUCAAAUUGCCUUUCCCUUGCUGGUAAGAUCCCAAUAGAGCUACAAAGCCUGCUCCAUUCGUUGCUGUCCAUGAUGUCCCAUGUAUCAUCUAAAACUAGCGAGACUCUGCAGCCCUUCAGCUCAUCUUUAAGCAUCUCCUGAAGAAGAGUCAUAUCUGCACUGCCUCCUUGGUCCAUUCCUGUUAUGUACUCUAAUAUCUGUCUGGUAAUUCUCACAAUAUCAUAUUUCAGGGAGACACAUACCCAUAUCAUAGUAUCAAAACAGGCCUUAACUCUGGGAUCGCUGUGCAUGUAUUGUGCCAGUGCAGUCUUUGUUUUUGUACCUGUAAACUGUGGGGGAGUUCCCCACAGCAUUUCAUUGCUUAAAUAAAAGAGAGUUUUUAUGUACAAGAGUAUUUACAAUUACUGAAAACUAUCUAGCCAUUGUCUAACUAUUGGUCGUAGGUCGUCCUUCACACGAUGCAGCUGCAGGACGAUCUGGUCUUUGAACCUCACGGUCCAGAGACGUUAGUUUUGUUGAAUAACUUGUUGCACACAUGCAUAUUUCCCUUUGGUUCAGUAGUGCAUUUUCACGUUGUUUAGGUGAAUUGCAUAAUUAGCUAGGUGUUUAGAGGUCACGAGUUAGCCUGAGGCGUGCUUGGUUCACGUCGUGGCCGAGUCUUCCUUUUCUUUCGGAUCGCCACAGCAUCUGCGGCAUGCACGUAGCGGGCGUCGCGGGCAACAACACGCGUCGCGCACCGUUGGUGGUGUGGCGUGGGAUUCGGUCGUUAAGGCCAUGUAAUCCGGUGCAUAAAAACAAGUUUGUUUGGCAUCGAGGCUGCAACGUUCUGCAGCGAAAUACUUCCUACUCUCUCUCACGUUGUGUUGGUGUUCAUCGUGUUCCUCGAGUUCUAGACGCGUUCGCGUUCCUGUGUGCGUGAUCCGAGCUGCAAACUGAGUUCAGCUCCAACAAGUUUACACUUUCCCCUUCAAAGAUCUUGCCAUUUCUAAGGUUCCAUAAUUCCCAUGCCGCUACGAUAAAGAUCUCCAUGAAGUAGGGUACAUGUGCCUCGAAGGGAUUCCACUAGUCUCGAUCUACCGGGCAGCAUCCAACACGAGGCUGGUGUUUCUCAGCUUCUCCUCAAGUGUGGUGACAUAGGGCUUGAUUGUUUGAGCUCAAACGUACUUAACAAUCUAGGGGAACGUGUGAGGCGUGAAAUUUCAAUGGCGAGUAAAAGGAAGUAAUUAACUAGUAUUUGAUAGUAUAGGAGAAAUUACUGUAAGAAUAUCCUCUCUUGUGUGCCGUAUAAAUGUAUGAUAACUGCGACGCAACCUGGGUAAGGUUCUGAUGUUGUCUCCUUGAAAAUUCAAAAGGCCAAACAUUGCAUGUAGGUCAUCUUUUAUGUACCGUUUGUAUUUUUUUUUACUUUGUACAAUAAUCUAUCAACGACAAGGAUGGACUAAUUCUAAACCUAACCGUGCUAACUACUCCCUCCAUUUCAAAUUAUAGGUCGUUUUGAUUUUUCUAGGUGUAUAGAUAUUAUUAUGCAUCUAGACUAUGCACUUAGAAAAGUCAAAACGACCUACAAUUUCGAACGGAGGGAGUAUUUGUCUAUUUAGCUACAUUAUCUCUUACAAAUGACCACCCCAACUUGAGCAAGAAUAAAGCACGCAUACGUAUAACUGAGAUUUGCAAAGCAUCAUUAUCUAGCAAAGAAAAUGACCCUUGAUUCCUUGGUAUCCGUACAAGUCUUACUGUUAUUUACAGAAGGCAUCUAAAUAUUGCAAAGAAAAAUUAAUACCUUUGCUUGCCUGUCAAACGGUAAUAGUGAUUGCCUGAGUGAGAUUUUACCCAGCCUUGCAGACAAAUUCGAAGGCUUUACUGCUUCUAAGUCUUACGAGGUCUUUAUAAAAAAUCACACUAUACUAUUGUGCUUACUUGCUUAUUGACUAAUUCAUGCCCUUCCCAUAUGUUUCGGGAAAUGUCCAAAUCACACAUGACCAUAAUCAUUGGAUAUUACUGUGAUUUGCAAACGCAUAUAUCUAAUUGAAAAAGAACCGUAUGUAAUUGCUCGCUGUUCGCCAAAUUAACGUGUGUAAUAACAAAGUUGCUUCUCACUGGAGAUCGAGGAGAUUACAAUCGAGAGGUAGAAGUGUAGAACGGAGGCCGCGACCUCCACAACGAUGACGAUGCUGAAGCCAGCCUACUCCACCCCUCACCCACUCGCCCUGCGAGAAGGUCCCGCUUGUGAGGAAAAUGGUCCUAGACCAUAAUAAUUUUGAUGAUUAAUGAUAACAUAAUCAUUAGGAGUAAUGUGUUUAUAAGAUAUACAUUUGUAUGUGUUUAUAUACGUUCCAAGGAUAAAUUACAAAAGUAUCAAAUGAGAAGAAAAAAAUACUUAGAAAAAUUCU